GUGUGUGACUGAUGUGCGCGGCGGCAGGGACGCGUGCUGUGCGCCACGGAGAGUGUGUGUGUGUGUACGUGUGUGUGCGUGUGCCUGUGUGUGGGAGUGUGUGUAUGUAUGUGUGUGAGAGCCGCGGUGAACAGUGUGUGUGGUGGUGGUGGGCCGCGUGUGUGUGUGUGUGAGUGUGUGUGUGUGCCCGCGUGUGCUGCUGCUGCUGCUACUGCCGCCUUGGUUGUGGUGCUGCCUGGAGGCUUGUGCUGUGAAGAGGCUGCAGGAGGAGUACGGCGCCCACACCCGGUCACGGCGGGGCGGAUCAGCUAGCCACGCACAAUAAUCUUGAGUUAUUGACUUGUUGUGUCUACGCCAAAGGCAGCAACCCCUAACCCCCGCCACCGGGUCCCGCGGGCCAGGCGCCUCACGCUGUCACAAACCAAAACAAUGGCUCGUGACCUUGAGCCACAAGCUUCGAGCCACUGAAGAUCCGCUCGACCCCUCGACCACCUCACCGCCACGCUUCCAUCCAUCUCUCAGGAACACAGACGCCCCUCCCUCACACCUCCCGCCGGCGCCUCACGACUCUGAUGCCACGGCGCGGCCACACACUGCCUGGUGACACCUUCCCGACACCGCCUCAUACCUCGGGUGACACCGUAACAUCCGUGGUCCUCAUAUCGAGCGUCCCCCUCAUUGCCGCCCUCCUCACUGUCACAAGAAAUCAGUGUGCAAACAAAGAUGAGUCAGCCUCGCUACACUAAACUGUCCUCUGCCUCCGCCUUGAGGGUGAGCCAGCCGCCCCUCUGAGGCGCGGUGAGGUGUGAACUAAACGGAGGACGGAGCAGCGCUGACCCGAGGUGUUGACGGGAUGAGUGGCAGCUUUAGUGACCUAAUAAUCCGGCAGUGGUGGUGACCCGUGUGGUGUACACUGGCUGCUGACCGCAUGGAGACGGGGCGCGCGACGCCCCCUGGGUUGUCAUGGCGACGCCUGUAAACAGUGUGCCAGUGUUCGGAUUCGAUGCUGCCCUGGACACGAUUAGAGAGUAAUAUUGGCAAUUGUUCCCAUGCAGACCCUCCGAAGAGUAUUAAGUGCCUCAAGACAACUGGAGCCAUGUGUCACGUCAGGCCUCGUGGCCCGGGCCUGCCUGGGGCCCUAGACACCCGCCAGCAGUAAGCCACCCCGAGGUCCUCGCCCAAGCCUCCGCUGUUGCGGGAGGCGGCGGGUGCUGGUGACCAUGGCGAGUCUCACUCCUCUCCUCUUCACCAAACGCAUGUGUCCUCCGGGCCGCGACCCUUCGAGGGAUCCUGGAGUCAGCACGCCGCUCCAGGUGAUGUCCUCGGAGGAUGGCGCGUCCAUCUCGUCCGUGGAAUUGACGCUGCCCCACAUCGCAAGGGAGGUGCUGCGGCGCAAGGCCCUGGGACACGGCCACGUCGAGGUGAGUACCCCAGCUGGACAUUCGAGUACUCUUGUCACAUGCUUCCCUUUAUGUGUCUCCAUUCUCUUUACGACGCCAACACCC
This is a long non-coding RNA of Scylla paramamosain (green mud crab), 1505 nucleotides long. RefSeq lists it as uncharacterized. The transcript is spliced from 3 exons. The record is from RefSeq and is a predicted model, not a curated record. NCBI's taxonomy places the organism in Eukaryota, Metazoa, Arthropoda, Malacostraca, Decapoda, Portunidae.